This 449-nucleotide ribosomal RNA is filed under the name uncultured bacterium. Its description in RNAcentral is "partial 16S ribosomal RNA". It matches the Rfam family "Bacterial small subunit ribosomal RNA", at positions 29 to 523 of the family's 1533-position model. The record is from RNAcentral.
AGCGAACGCUGGCUGCAGCCUUAACACAUGCAAGCCGAGCGGGCACUUCGUUGUCAGCGGCAGACGGGUGAGUAACGCGUGGGAACGUGCCCUUCGGUUCGGAAUAACUCAGGGAAACUUGAGCUAUUACCGGAUACGCCCUUUUGGGGAUAGGUUUAUCUGCCGAAGGAUCGGCCCGCGUCUGAUUAACUAGUUGGUGAGGUUAUGGCUAACCAAGGCGACGAUCAGUAGCUGGUCUGAGAGGAUGAUAAGCCACACUGGGACUGAGACACGGCCCAGACUCCUACGGGAGGCAGCAGUGGGGAAUAUUGGACAAUGUGGGCAACCCUGAUCCAGCCAUGCCGCGUGAGUGAUGUCGGCCUUAGGGUUGUAAAGCUCUUUCUCCGGGACGAUAAUGACGGUACCGGAGGGAUAAGCCCCGGCUAACUUCGUGCCAGCCGCCGCGGUAA